Non-coding RNA from Cyanistes caeruleus (blue tit), 4640 nucleotides. The record is from RefSeq and is a predicted model, not a curated record. NCBI's taxonomy places the organism in Eukaryota, Metazoa, Chordata, Aves, Passeriformes, Paridae.
CACAGCUCCAGGGCCACAGCAGAUGUGAGAGCCGAGUAUUUACAGUUUACUUAAAGGAAGCCUUGGCUUCAUCUGCAUCCACACAAAAAAAGACAGACGGUCCAUGCGUAAUGCUCCUCCACCCUCAUAUAUACACGCACACGCAGAGUUUGGAGACUUCCUUGCCUGACCCUGUUCUGACACUUCACUCUGGGGCACCUGGUUCGCAGAAAGAAGCCAGUAGGACCCAGGAGUAGAGUAAGAUGAUGGAAUUUCAUGGUCUCUUUUGCAUUCUAUUAUCAGUGUAUCAUGAACAUGUCAUCCAUUACCUGUAACAAAUUAAGAAAAAGAAUGUAUUGUUGCUAUAGGAUAUUUAAAAAGUGUUUCCCCCUUGAAAUAAUUGGAAUAUCAGGUAUUGUAUAUGAAAAGGUUAUCAGUCUUUGCUUUAAGGUAAAUGAAUCUCAGCAAGAACUCAGAAAAGUUGUAUAGUAUAAACUGAAAAUUUGCAGUGGAAAUAUUCACAACUCCUCCUUAUGAUGAAGAGUGGGCUUUUUUUCCCCCUGUCAUCUGCAAAACUACUGGUUGCAAUCCUUAUGUGCCUUCCUAGGUGAAAUUUCCCUUUUGCUUUCACACACAGAGUAGGUCAAUGAUCUAAUGGUGUCUGAGCUUCAAGUAUUAGCUUCAUAUUAUUAUGGAAAUUAUGGUAAUAGCACAUGGAAAUAACACUCAGACUGCAUUAAUUUUAAGAAAUAUUUAAAGUGACAUAUUCCUUUUUCUUAUGCUAAUGUAUGCAAUGAAGAAAGAAAAUUAUUUUAUUAAUUUUUCGUGUCCUACUUUACAAUAGGCAUGCAUGAAAAACAUUUUCAUUUACAGCCAUCAGAAAAACUAAUGUAAACCUUCAUGUGAUGAUCCCAGUCCUCCACAUGAGUAAGCCAACAUAUUAAAUAUAUCUUUUCAUGUAAUAUUUUAAAUAUUUCAGUAUGACUCAUCCUUAUUUAAAUAGUGGCCCUAUUCCACUGCUUCAUGGGACCAAGAUUUUCAAGACCAGUCUUAGUACAUCUGGAUGUACAAUAAGUGUUUCUUCAAUGCUUGGAAGCAAGAGGAAAACAAACGCUGCAUGUAUCCUCAUCUCCAGACCAUCUUCCUAUUUAAACAUAAGACAUGGUUGUGUUUUCCCCUCUAUACUGUGUUAUCAUGUUAUUUAUUUUAAAUGUGCUAUGAUGUGUAUAAUGUCAUUAGAUAUCUGGCAUACUCAUAAUUUUAAGUCAUUAUUCUAUUUUAAUGUUAACUAAAACUAUAGUUGUGAUUGAAGUUAUGUCUGCUGUAUGAAGGACAUACAAGUGAUAUUCAACUUUAUUUAAAAAUAUGGAACAAAUGCACAAUUGUUAUCCCACAAAGCACAUUUUACAGUAAAUGAGGAGCAAUGUAAUUUCCAUUAAAAUUUGGAACUAAGGUAACUAAAAAUGUCAUUGAUAACAAUUCUGUUGUAAAGUGGGGAAAAAAGCACCAUAUUCUUAAAUACAAGCAUUUUUACAUUCAUAAAAAUUCAAGACUUGAUUUUGGUAGAGCACUUCAAAGAAAUACAGAUUUGUAGUUUAAAUUGCAUAAAUCAUUCUAUCUACACUUUAAAUGCUCAGCAGCAUACAAUACAGAAAUAAUCAUUAAAGUGUACAUACAAACAGAAAGAAAGGAUGGAUAUGAACGCUAAUGUUUUUUUUUUUAAAAAUGAUGCACACAUAAUUGUUUUUAAAGAUAUGUAAAGCAUAUGUCAUGCUUUACUUUCUGGUACCACAAAAGAAAAAAGCUCUCCUAAAUAAUCAACUCCUUGUAUUCUCCAAGUAAACUUGGUGAAGCUGGAGUUGACCUGGCACAAGGCUCAUGAAAACAUAUAAAAACAACAGAAUUUUUCCAACUGACAAUAAAAAAAAUAUAUAUAUACACAUAAAGCUCUUUAUAAUGCAUGUCUGCGUGUCUAUGCACAGAAAUCCUUCAAUUUAGCUCAUGUUAAGGAGUUUGAUUUCUAAGAUCAAAUGGAAAAUAGAUCAGUACCUGGUAAAUGCAUUAUAUUUAGCUUUGAAAAGGUCCAACUAUUAAAAAUGCAGAGGUCCUCAAAACACAUACCAGAAAGAAAUACUAAAGGUACAGGAAAUUAAAAACAAACACAAAGAUCCUAUACUAUAUGAAAUACCAUCCACACUUUCUGUAAAAUAUAUAUUUGCUUAACACUGAGUAACCUCAGUGCCUUCAGUGAGCAUACUAUAAUUUGUACCGACUUCCCAGCGUGUCUAGGAAGAAUUAGGGGCCAAGAGCAUUAAAAAGGUGCUUUCAUUCUCUUUUUUAUGCCCUCAAGUAAGACAUGCCAGCCUUCUUUUGAAUUAAAUUCCUAUUGUAAAAAUGUGCCUCAGUGUCAAAGGCCUCAUACCCAAUUACACAGUCCCACACAGGUUUCCUGCACUGUUACCACCUCAGAAUGUUUAAGGCACAUUGAUAUUGACACUUAUUAAAAAUUCUGUGAAAACACUAUGCCUUAUAUUUCUUAAAUAUAGAUUUUUUUUUCAUAAAUUUUAGGGGAAGGGUGACAUGACUCAUACAUUUAUCAUGUAAUAAAACACAGAAUAUAUAUUUAAGCUUUACCAAGUUUUGCCUCUAAAUUCAUUGUAUCAUUUGACGUUUCUAGAUGACACACAUCAAUUCCUACUUAAGUACAUAAGUAACUCUGUAUCAGUACCAUUGACAUUUAUUGCUGAUAGUUCUCCAACAGCAGGUAAUAGAAAUGGCUUUAACACUUGGUAACAUAAGCACAAUAUGACAGAUUUCAGGAAUCUGACCUGCAUUUCUUGUGCAGGAAAAAGCAUCCUGUUAUUAACAGAAUAGUUUUUGUACCAUCAGAAAGAAAUGUACCGUGAUAAAUGUUAUCCAUGAUAACAGACAAUGAAAUCUAAGUUACUUCAUAAAACUUCCCACUGCAGAAUUAAGACUAUAAUACCACAGGAAGAUCACUUUAGUUAACAUGAAUCAUUUAGAAACAAAAAUUAAGUUUAUGAGAAUUUUUUUCUACACGGGAAAUAAAAACCCAGUAAGCUACCUUCAAAAGUAGAUAUUUUGUAUUAAUACGUACCAUUAUUAUUUGCACAGAACAAUUUACAAUAUCAACAACACUGUUAAAAAAUAACAAUGAUUUAAUUCCAAUGGACUUGUGCUUUCAGCUGAUCUUCCAGCAAGUACAGAGAUAGAGCAAAUGUGAGAACAAAAUCAGAAUUUCUUGCAUCCAUUGCUCCUGUGUAAGGACUAGCAUGGCUCGUCCUUUGCUUCUGCUGAGCCCCAUUAAAGCAUCUGGAAUUUUGACUGCAUAUACAAAUGCACACCAAAUUUACUAUAUUUACCUGCAUUACCAUAAUUACCUGUUUUCACCCAGACACUGACUAAUAAUGACUAUACACACAUAUAAAUAAAUUUUGCACAUUUGAAGCAACUAAGAGUACACAAUGACUUUAAUUUAAUUUUAUCUCUCAUUAGUUAUGUGGGUAGUUCUGGUGCUGCAGCUCCUCCCAUCUGUCUUAGCAACACUUGGACAGGCACAUCCUAUUAUUUUUAAAAAAUUAAUUUCCCUAAAAAGGGGGGAGAAAUACAAAUGAAAGGGGAAUCUGUCAAUACACAAAGUGCUGACACAUUCAUCAGGUAAAUAAGCUAGAAAAUAUACUUGCUUUAAUUUUCUCCAGAGGCCUUAGCUAGCACUUGCUUUAGUCAGAAGCUAAUUAUACUGGCAGUAUCCAUUCAAAGGAAAAGUCCAAUGCAAUACAGGAAUUAUUUUAACUAGUACAUCAAAUUCACUGUGGGUUAAUUUCAGACAGAUGUGUAUGUGUGACAGGUGUGCACACAUACAUUCCCUAUGAGGGAAUGGAGGCUUCCUUGCACAUCACAGAACAGCAGCAGUUUGUGUUUUGGGAACUUAACUGGCCUGCUCUGUGGCAUCAACAACCAUAGCAAAACAUAAGUCUGUGCUUCCCACAUGCUGAGAUGUGGAAGGAAUUGUAAGAGCUGUAUUUCACUGUAGGCUUGUAAAGACAUCACACAAAAGCUUCACAUGGGCACAGCUGACUUGUCCCACAGCAAUGGCUUUUUUGAAGAUGAGGAUUUAAGACUACUGGGAAAGAAGUAAUUUUAAGAUUAAAAAGAGCGACUCAUUGCUCUGAAAAAUUUUCUCUCUGAAAAAGGAGAGAGACAGAAGCAGCCUAACUAGCUUGGUUUUUCCAUUCUUUUUUUUCAUAAAAUUCCAGCUGUUAUGAAAAGUAAGGUGCUCAUCACUGUAAACCAACAUAGCUCUCAUGGCAUCUAAAGUUCUUACACCUAACAGUAGAGAUUAAUACCAAUGGUUAGUACCAGCAACAGACUGCAACUCUCCAUGACAAAGUCCAAGACAGUUCUUACUCUAGGGAAGGAUUUUUUGUAAAUAUAUUCUUGAAAAAUGACUUCAUAAUGUGGAAUCCUUCAUGGGACUUGAACCUACUCCUUGCUGAGACAAAGUGUUGAAAUACCUGUGUGCCUUUGACAGAUAACAUGACUUAUGUUGAAAGAAGAACAUUUUCUGGUUUUACCAGCAUUAAAAUAAUUGUUUACCCAGCACUGCCACACCAGUUUGGUUCUUUACAUAAAUUAGCAUU